RNAcentral lists this ribosomal RNA (494 nucleotides) under uncultured bacterium. RNAcentral's name for it is "partial 16S ribosomal RNA". It matches the Rfam family "Bacterial small subunit ribosomal RNA", at positions 29 to 507 of the family's 1533-position model. The record is from RNAcentral.
ACGCACGCUGGCGGCGUGCCUAAUACAUGCAAGUAGAACGCUGAAGGAGGAGCUUGCUUCUCUGGAUGAGUUGCGAACGGGUGAGUAACGCGUAGGUAACCUGCCUGGUAGCGGGGGAUAACUAUUGGAAACGAUAGCUAAUACCGCAUAAUAGCAGUUGUUGCAUGAUAACUGUUUGAAAGGUGCAAUUGCACCACUACCAGAUGGACCUGCGUUGUAUUAGCUAGUUGGUGGGGUAACGGCUCACCAAGGCGACGAUACAUAGCCGACCUGAGAGGGUGAUCGGCCACACUGGGACUGAGACACGGCCCAGACUCCUACGGGAGGCAGCAGUAGGGAAUCUUCGGCAAUGGACGGAAGUCUGACCGAGCAACGCCGCGUGAGUGAAGAAGGUUUUCGGAUCGUAAAGCUCUGUUGUAAGAGAAGAACGAGUGUGAGAGUGGAAAGUUCACACUGUGACGGUAUCUUACCAGAAAGGGACGGCUAACUACGUG